CAGCUCUGGUUUGAGAGAAAGACCUGGUCCAGACGUAAUGGAGGCACCACCAAAAUGCAGUUAUUGGCAGCGUAACUCACUACAAACUGAAGGUCUUGCUGAGUUAUGUUUGUGGUUCAGUCUCCAGUGAGAUCCUGAGUGACAUUAAAUCCUCGCUUCUGAAGAUACAAUGCUGUUAUUUUGCCAGUUAAAUGUUUGUUUCUAUGUAUUCCAAGUUUCCCCACUUAGCAACAUGCUGCACUGGUUCUGUCACCAUGGCAACAAAAUAUCCCAUAAUGGCUCUGUCCUAUAGCCAAAAAAUAAAAGUUUCAAUUUCA
Molecule: long non-coding RNA, 317 nt
Organism: Hemicordylus capensis (graceful crag lizard)
Lineage: Eukaryota; Metazoa; Chordata; Lepidosauria; Squamata; Cordylidae
Exons: 2
Source: RefSeq, a predicted model, not a curated record